GGAGUGGGUCGGGUGAUCGCCGCGGCCGUCGUCCUGGCCGGGGAGGAAAGUCCGGACUCCGAGGGCAGUGUGCUGGCCAACCGCCAGCGAGGGUGACCUCAGGGAAAGUGCCACAGAAAACACACCGCCGAACUGCCGGGUAACCGGUGGUGGCAAGGGUGAAAAGGUGCGGUAAGAGCGCACCGCCGACCUGGUGACAGGGCGGGCAGGGUAAACCCCACACGGAGCAAGACCAAAUAGGGGGGCGUUUGAGGCUGGCCCGGCCGAAGCCCCCGGGUAGGUCGCUGGACCCCGCGGGUAACCUCGGGGCUAGAGGAAUGAUCGCCACCGUCGCUUCGAGAGGAGCGGCGGAACAGGACCCGGCUUAUAGACCCGCUCCUGCG
RNAcentral lists this RNase P RNA (383 nucleotides) under Acidobacteriota bacterium. Its description in RNAcentral is "Acidobacteria bacterium RNase P RNA component class A". It matches the Rfam family "Bacterial RNase P class A". Rfam says of the family: Ribonuclease P (RNase P) is a ubiquitous endoribonuclease, found in archaea, bacteria and eukarya as well as chloroplasts and mitochondria. Lineage: Bacteria; Pseudomonadati; Acidobacteriota. The record is from RNAcentral.